AUCGUUCAUUCACUUAAUUGUGAACGGAAGUAAGUGUAGUACGCUGAAGGAACGCAUC
This 58-nucleotide non-coding RNA is filed under the name unclassified sequences. The record is from Rfam.